RNAcentral lists this ribosomal RNA (295 nucleotides) under uncultured bacterium. Its description in RNAcentral is "partial 16S ribosomal RNA". It matches the Rfam family "Bacterial small subunit ribosomal RNA", at positions 475 to 776 of the family's 1533-position model. The record is from RNAcentral.
CUAUGCGCCUUGCCAGCCCGCUCAGGUGUGCCAGCAGCCGCGGUAAUACGUAGGGGCAAGCGUUAUCCGGAUUUACUGGGUGUAAAGGGAGCGCAGACGGCGCGGCAAGUCCGGAGUGAAAGCCCGGGGCCAACCCGGGACUGCUCUGGAAACUGCGGCGCUCGAGUGCCGGAGGGGCAGGCGGAAUUCCUAGUGUAGCGGUGAAAUGCGUAGAUAUUAGGAGGAACACCAGUGGCGAAGGCGGCCUGCUGGACGGCGACUGACGUUGAGGCUCGAAAGCGUGGGAGCAAACAGG